This 2902-nucleotide ribosomal RNA is filed under the name Escherichia coli BIDMC 15. RNAcentral's name for it is "bacterial LSU rRNA". It matches the Rfam family "Bacterial large subunit ribosomal RNA". The record is from RNAcentral. Lineage: Bacteria; Pseudomonadati; Pseudomonadota; Gammaproteobacteria; Enterobacterales; Enterobacteriaceae.
UUAAGCGACUAAGCGUACACGGUGGAUGCCCUGGCAGUCAGAGGCGAUGAAGGACGUGCUAAUCUGCGAUAAGCGUCGGUAAGGUGAUAUGAACCGUUAUAACCGGCGAUUUCCGAAUGGGGAAACCCAGUGUGUUUCGACACACUAUCAUUAACUGAAUCCAUAGGUUAAUGAGGCGAACCGGGGGAACUGAAACAUCUAAGUACCCCGAGGAAAAGAAAUCAACCGAGAUUCCCCCAGUAGCGGCGAGCGAACGGGGAGCAGCCCAGAGCCUGAAUCAGUGUGUGUGUUAGUGGAAGCGUCUGGAAAGGCGCGCGAUACAGGGUGACAGCCCCGUACACAAAAAUGCACAUACUGUGAGCUCGAUGAGUAGGGCGGGACACGUGGUAUCCUGUCUGAAUAUGGGGGGACCAUCCUCCAAGGCUAAAUACUCCUGACUGACCGAUAGUGAACCAGUACCGUGAGGGAAAGGCGAAAAGAACCCCGGCGAGGGGAGUGAAAAAGAACCUGAAACCGUGUACGUACAAGCAGUGGGAGCCUCUUAAUGGGGUGACUGCGUACCUUUUGUAUAAUGGGUCAGCGACUUAUAUUCUGUAGCAAGGUUAACCGAAUAGGGGAGCCGAAGGGAAACCGAGUCUUAACUGGGCGUUAAGUUGCAGGGUAUAGACCCGAAACCCGGUGAUCUAGCCAUGGGCAGGUUGAAGGUUGGGUAACACUAACUGGAGGACCGAACCGACUAAUGUUGAAAAAUUAGCGGAUGACUUGUGGCUGGGGGUGAAAGGCCAAUCAAACCGGGAGAUAGCUGGUUCUCCCCGAAAGCUAUUUAGGUAGCGCCUCGUGAAUUCAUCUCCGGGGGUAGAGCACUGUUUCGGCAAGGGGGUCAUCCCGACUUACCAACCCGAUGCAAACUGCGAAUACCGGAGAAUGUUAUCACGGGAGACACACGGCGGGUGCUAACGUCCGUCGUGAAGAGGGAAACAACCCAGACCGCCAGCUAAGGUCCCAAAGUCAUGGUUAAGUGGGAAACGAUGUGGGAAGGCCCAGACAGCCAGGAUGUUGGCUUAGAAGCAGCCAUCAUUUAAAGAAAGCGUAAUAGCUCACUGGUCGAGUCGGCCUGCGCGGAAGAUGUAACGGGGCUAAACCAUGCACCGAAGCUGCGGCAGCGACACUAUGUGUUGUUGGGUAGGGGAGCGUUCUGUAAGCCUGUGAAGGUGUACUGUGAGGUAUGCUGGAGGUAUCAGAAGUGCGAAUGCUGACAUAAGUAACGAUAAAGCGGGUGAAAAGCCCGCUCGCCGGAAGACCAAGGGUUCCUGUCCAACGUUAAUCGGGGCAGGGUGAGUCGACCCCUAAGGCGAGGCCGAAAGGCGUAGUCGAUGGGAAACAGGUUAAUAUUCCUGUACUUGGUGUUACUGCGAAGGGGGGACGGAGAAGGCUAUGUUGGCCGGGCGACGGUUGUCCCGGUUUAAGCGUGUAGGCUGGUUUUCCAGGCAAAUCCGGAAAAUCAAGGCUGAGGCGUGAUGACGAGGCACUACGGUGCUGAAGCAACAAAUGCCCUGCUUCCAGGAAAAGCCUCUAAGCAUCAGGUAACAUCAAAUCGUACCCCAAACCGACACAGGUGGUCAGGUAGAGAAUACCAAGGCGCUUGAGAGAACUCGGGUGAAGGAACUAGGCAAAAUGGUGCCGUAACUUCGGGAGAAGGCACGCUGAUAUGUAGGUGAAGUCCCUUGCGGAUGGAGCUGAAAUCAGUCGAAGAUACCAGCUGGCUGCAACUGUUUAUUAAAAACACAGCACUGUGCAAACACGAAAGUGGACGUAUACGGUGUGACGCCUGCCCGGUGCCGGAAGGUUAAUUGAUGGGGUUAGCGGUAACGCGAAGCUCUUGAUCGAAGCCCCGGUAAACGGCGGCCGUAACUAUAACGGUCCUAAGGUAGCGAAAUUCCUUGUCGGGUAAGUUCCGACCUGCACGAAUGGCGUAAUGAUGGCCAGGCUGUCUCCACCCGAGACUCAGUGAAAUUGAACUCGCUGUGAAGAUGCAGUGUACCCGCGGCAAGACGGAAAGACCCCGUGAACCUUUACUAUAGCUUGACACUGAACAUUGAGCCUUGAUGUGUAGGAUAGGUGGGAGGCUUUGAAGUGUGGACGCCAGUCUGCAUGGAGCCGACCUUGAAAUACCACCCUUUAAUGUUUGAUGUUCUAACGUUGGCCCCUUACCGGGGUUGCGGACAGUGUCUGGUGGGUAGUUUGACUGGGGCGGUCUCCUCCUAAAGAGUAACGGAGGAGCACGAAGGUUGGCUAAUCCUGGUCGGACAUCAGGAGGUUAGUGCAAUGGCAUAAGCCAGCUUGACUGCGAGCGUGACGGCGCGAGCAGGUGCGAAAGCAGGUCAUAGUGAUCCGGUGGUUCUGAAUGGAAGGGCCAUCGCUCAACGGAUAAAAGGUACUCCGGGGAUAACAGGCUGAUACCGCCCAAGAGUUCAUAUCGACGGCGGUGUUUGGCACCUCGAUGUCGGCUCAUCACAUCCUGGGGCUGAAGUAGGUCCCAAGGGUAUGGCUGUUCGCCAUUUAAAGUGGUACGCGAGCUGGGUUUAGAACGUCGUGAGACAGUUCGGUCCCUAUCUGCCGUGGGCGCUGGAGAACUGAGGGGGGCUGCUCCUAGUACGAGAGGACCGGAGUGGACGCAUCACUGGUGUUCGGGUUGUCAUGCCAAUGGCACUGCCCGGUAGCUAAAUGCGGAAGAGAUAAGUGCUGAAAGCAUCUAAGCACGAAACUUGCCCCGAGAUGAGUUCUCCCUGACUCUUUAAGGGUCCUGAAGGAACGUUGAAGACGACGACGUUGAUAGGCCGGGUGUGUAAGCGCAGCGAUGCGUUGAGCUAACCGGUACUAAUGAACCGUGAGGCUUAACCUU